RNAcentral lists this ribosomal RNA (315 nucleotides) under uncultured bacterium. RNAcentral's name for it is "bacterial SSU rRNA". It matches the Rfam family "Bacterial small subunit ribosomal RNA", at positions 342 to 668 of the family's 1533-position model. The record is from RNAcentral.
CGGGAGGCAGCAGUGGGGAAUAUUGGGCAAUGCACGAAACUCUGACCCAGCGACGCCGCGUGCGGGAUGAAGGCCUUCGGGUUGUAAACCGCUUUCAGCAGGGAAUUCAUCGAAAGUGACGGUACCUGCAGAAGAAGCACCGGCUAACUAUGUGCCAGCAGCCGCGGUAAUACAUAGGGUGCAAGCGUUGUCCGGAAUUAUUGGGCGUAAAGAGCUCGUAGGUGGUUCGUUACGUCGGAUGUGAAAAUCUGGGGCUCAACCCCUGACCUGCAUUCGAUACGGGCGAACUUGAGUUUGGUAGGGGAGACUGGAAUU